Molecule: ribosomal RNA, 246 nt
Filed under: Triticum aestivum (bread wheat)
Lineage: Eukaryota; Viridiplantae; Streptophyta; Magnoliopsida; Poales; Poaceae
Description: partial small subunit ribosomal RNA
Source: RNAcentral
AUGCGGUCAUUGGAAAAUCGAAACCUACCUGGGGGUAAUGUUAGUGAUAUCUUUCUGUUUAAUGAAGUGAUUGGCCACCUGGGUCUUGUUGAGCUACCAAUUAAGGGACGACAAUUCACUUGGUCGAACAUGCAAACACAACCUUUACUUGAACAGAUCGAUUGGUUCUUUACUUCAGUUGCAUGGACCACGGAUCAUCCAAACACGCUGGUUUUGCCCCUUGCACGCAUGGCUUCCGAUCAUUGA